GUCGCCCAUUUCGUUUACAACAACAAUCGUAGAUCCGGAACGCGUAAUAAAUUACGAUCAAAGACAACAACCUAAUACUGCGGUAGAGUCGAUCCAAUGGAUUGGCAAUGGUGUCGACAGUUCGUAAUGGUGCGUAUCGAUUGAUCCGGACGAUUUUCAAAACGAAUUAUAAUACGCUAUAAGCCAAGGAAAGCCGGACGCGUUUAAACAGCAAUUUUUCUACCGGAAAUCUUACUUCAAUC
Molecule: non-coding RNA, 242 nt
Organism: Cinara cedri
Lineage: Eukaryota; Metazoa; Arthropoda; Insecta; Hemiptera; Aphididae
Source: the annotation of a GenBank genome assembly